RNAcentral lists this ribosomal RNA (301 nucleotides) under uncultured bacterium. Its description in RNAcentral is "partial 16S ribosomal RNA". It matches the Rfam family "Bacterial small subunit ribosomal RNA", at positions 509 to 807 of the family's 1533-position model. The record is from RNAcentral.
CAGUAGCCGCGGUAAUACGUAGGGUGCGAGCGUUAAUCGGAAUUACUGGGCGUAAAGCGUGCGCAGGCGGUUCGUUAAGACAGAUGUGAAAUCCCCGGGCUUAACCUGGGAACUGCAUUUGUGACUGACGGGAUAGAGUAUGGCAGAGGGGGGUAGAAUUCCACGUGUAGCAGUGAAAUGCGUAGAGAUGUGGAGGAAUACCGAUGGCGAAGGCAGCCCCCUGGGCCAAUACUGACGCUCAUGCACGAAAGCGUGGGGAGCAAACAGGAUUAGAUACCCCAGUAGUCCCUGUCUCUUAUAC